This 253-nucleotide ribosomal RNA is filed under the name uncultured bacterium. RNAcentral's name for it is "partial 16S ribosomal RNA". It matches the Rfam family "Bacterial small subunit ribosomal RNA", at positions 524 to 776 of the family's 1533-position model. The record is from RNAcentral.
UACGGAGGGGGCAAGCGUUAUUCGGAAUCAUUGGGCGUAAAGGGCGCGUAGGCGGCUUGGCAAGUCAGGGGUGAAAUCCCUCGGCUCAACCGAGGAACUGCCUCUGAAACUGUCUGGCUUGAGGCCGGGAGAGGGUAGUGGAAUUCCCAGUGUAGCGGUGAAAUGCGUAGAUAUUGGGAGGAACACCGGUGGCGAAGGCGGCUACCUGGACCGGUUCUGACGCUGAGGCGCGAAAGUGUGGGGAGCAAACAGG